RNAcentral lists this ribosomal RNA (547 nucleotides) under uncultured bacterium. RNAcentral describes it as "bacterial SSU rRNA". It matches the Rfam family "Bacterial small subunit ribosomal RNA", at positions 355 to 896 of the family's 1533-position model. The record is from RNAcentral.
UGGGGAAUAUUGCGCAAUGGGGGGAACCCUGACGCAGCCAUGCCGCGUGAAUGAAGAAGGCCUUAGGGUUGUAAAGUUCUUUCGGUAUUGAGGAAGGUUGACGUGUUAAUAGCACAUCAAAUUGACGUUAAAUACAGAAGAAGCACCGGCUAACUCCGUGCCAGCAGCCGCGGUAAUACGGAGGGUGCGAGCGUUAAUCGGAAUAACUGGGCGUAAAGGGCACGCAGGCGGUUAUUUAAGUGAGGUGUGAAAGCCCCGGGCUUAACCUGGGAAUUGCAUUUCAGACUGGGUAACUAGAGUACUUUAGGGAGGGGUAGAAUUCCACGUGUAGCGGUGAAAUGCGUAGAGAUGUGGAGGAAUACCGAAGGCGAAGGCAGCCCCUUGGGAAUGUACUGACGCUCAUGUGCGAAAGCGUGGGGAGCAAACAGGAUUAGAUACCCUGGUAGUCCACGCUGUAAACGCUGUCGAUUUGGGGGUUGGGGUUUAACUCUGGCGCCCGUAGCUAACGUGAUAAAUCGACCGCCUGGGGAGUACGGCCGCAAGGUUA